UGGGGAAUAUUGGACAAUGGGGGGAACCCUGAUCCAGCCAUGCCGCGUGUGUGAAGAAGGCCUUAUGGUUGUAAAGCACUUUAAGCGAGGAGGAGGCUCUUCUAGUUAAUACCUAGGAUGAGUGGACGUUACUCGCAGAAUAAGCACCGGCUAACUCUGUGCCAGCAGCCGCGGUAAUACAGAGGGUGCGAGCGUUAAUCGGAUUUACUGGGCGUAAAGCGUGCGUAGGCGGCUGAUUAAGUCGGAUGUGAAAUCCCUGAGCUUAACUUGGGAAUUGCAUUCGAUACUGGUUAGCUAGAGUGUGGGGGAGGAUGGUAGAAUUCCAGGUGUAGCGGUGAAAUGCGUAGAGAUCUGGAGGAAUACCGAUGGCGAAGGCAGCCAUCUGGCCUAACACUGACGCUGAGGUACGAAAGCAUGAGGAGCAAACAGG
This 430-nucleotide ribosomal RNA is filed under the name Pseudomonadota bacterium. Its description in RNAcentral is "Proteobacteria bacterium partial 16S ribosomal RNA". It matches the Rfam family "Bacterial small subunit ribosomal RNA", at positions 355 to 776 of the family's 1533-position model. Lineage: Bacteria; Pseudomonadati; Pseudomonadota. The record is from RNAcentral.